AAGUGUAUCAUAGCCCUAUUUAUAGAUGGUUGAUGACAAUUAAUUCUCAUAAUAGGGAUUUAAUACAAACAUUCUCUCUUAAUGGGGUCUUAACAAUUAAUAAAUACAUACAUUCUCGUAAUUAAAGAGCUAGUUGGGCCUGGGUGUAUCUCCUCAUACUCAUUUACGAGGUUAUAACCCACAACUUUAUGGGGUAACGCAUUCCUGACAGUGUCAGGAUAUAGCUACAUGUUUUUCUAUGUCAGACAGCGUCGUAAGAACUUUAAUGUCAGUUUAACAUAUAUUAGCCAAGAUUUUGGCUCCCAUAUUUGCUUAUUUAUGCCUGGUUAUCUGAAUAAGCUACGCAAAGACACUUUUGAUUUUAUUUAAGCUGCUACUUGUUUAAAGGUUACUGUGCCUAUAAAUAAUGUUUUGUGCUCAUUAAUUUGUAGCUGCAGAGUUAAUGCGAACAGCAACCAAUAAAACUCUUUGUUGGAGUGAUUCAUAUUCUCUUCUUUGAUGAUGCAGAUGCUUUGACUCUGUAUGGUCUUAUUGUUGGUAUUAUUAUCUCCAAAAACAUUUGAUAAUUCUUCAAAUCGAAGCAAUUGGAUGCUUGACUCUGUGGACCUGUAACGUCGUGUUGGUUACAUUUAUUUGCUAAGAGAAGGUAGGUAUGGACUGUUGUUAUUUUUAAUUAAAGUGUCCACAUAAGACGUCGAUCAUGAUUCGACAUCAUAUACAAAAUGUAAGACAUGGAACAUCAAUCUUAAACCCUGAUAUAAUAUCAGGGUCUUAAUUAGAUGUUCUGCUCGACAUCAAAAGUUGCUUGUCAUCAAAAAUCCUUUAAUAUAUUAAUUAUAGUCAUUUUCCCUAUACUUUAUAUCCCAUCUUGAAAAAUAAAAAAUUAUUUUUCAUUUCCAUAUGUAACCAACAACAAUUAAUUAAGAAAACAAUUCUCAAAUAGAUCUUCCAUGCAUUAAUUUAAUUGAUAUGUAACGUUGGCUAAGUGAUAUAUAACGUUUUACAAAAAUCAAGUACUAGUCUCCAAAUAGAAAAUAUAUUAAUAAAUUGAAGAGUUUAUAACUUGAGGCCACUCUAAAAUAGAGUUCUCAUAAUUUAAUUAAUGACAACUUUUUAAUCACAAUACAAUUCUUUUGUAACUAAAUAUUACUUUUAGUCACAAAAUAUUACUUUUUUUUUUUUGAUGAAUCAGCAGCAAUUCAUUACUCCACUAACAAAAUUACAACCUAUAAGCACCUAUUUCCCACAAAAUAUUACUUGUGAUGAUGAAAAUGUAAUAUUUAGUGUAUAUAAAAUUGUCACUAAAAUAUAGUUUAGCAUAAUAAAUUAUAUUUUUUGUGACUAAUAUUUUUAGUCAUAUAUUUUUUCGAGAUAAUAACAUAAAUAUGAGUAUUGUUUUAGUAAUAUGGUUGUCAUGUUUAGUCAGUUACGACUAAAAGUAAGAUUUUGUGUAACUUGAGUUAUGUAUAUAUCAAUUAGAGAUCUCCGAAUUUCCAUUUAUAUAUAUAUAUAUAUAUGAAACUUAGAUAUUAUGAGAUGAUUGCAUUACUCAAAUUAAUGGGACAUCAGUUUUAUAUUCCAGAGAUAUAAUUUAUAUAUAUAUAUGUAUGUAUAUAAUCCUUCAAUAUAUAUAGGGCAACCUUAUAUAGAAGGUUAAUUAGAUAUAAUUAAGAGAAAACUGAAGUUAGAUAUAUCUACGAUUACCGCUACUUCACAUUAUUCUCAAUAUCAUACGUACGUACCAAAAUUUUGAAAAUAUAAAAAAAAUUAAUAUAAUAUUUGAGUACAUAUAUAUCUCUACUCUUUUCAAUGAUCGAACUUUAUUCAGUACACAAAUCGGAAUGACAAACCGGCAACUACAAUUAUUUAUUCUGCAAUAUAUGAGGCACAUUUCAAAAAUUAUGAAUGUAAUAACAUAUAUACAAAUACACAUAAAUAUCUUAUUAGAAGAUAAAAAGCAAAUUAUUAUAUAAUUUUACAAAAACUGAAGAUAUAAGUUUAUUUGUCAAUAAUCAUAUAUAAAGCAAUAUUAAUUACAAUAUUAAGAAAAAAAAAUAAUACAUAGUGAAGCUACACACUUGAAGAUAUGAUGAUUAUGAUGAUUAAGGUUGAUUUGGUUGAGGAUUUUGUUGUUUAAGAAGUGAGUCGGAUUUUGAAAAUGGAGGAGAAAAUGAGAAUCGAGGUUGACGAGGUAAUAAUUUUGAUGGCGGGAUUGAUGGUGGAAAAAGCGGCCGCCGUAGUGGUGGUCCAAGUAAUAUUAUUGGAAGGUGUAAUAAUGGUGGAGGUGGAGGUGG
Humulus lupulus (European hop) is the source of this 2294-nucleotide long non-coding RNA. RefSeq lists it as uncharacterized. The transcript is spliced from 2 exons. The record is from RefSeq and is a predicted model, not a curated record. NCBI's taxonomy places the organism in Eukaryota, Viridiplantae, Streptophyta, Magnoliopsida, Rosales, Cannabaceae.